RNAcentral lists this ribosomal RNA (213 nucleotides) under uncultured bacterium. Its description in RNAcentral is "partial 16S ribosomal RNA". It matches the Rfam family "Bacterial small subunit ribosomal RNA", at positions 524 to 734 of the family's 1533-position model. The record is from RNAcentral.
UACGGAGGGUGCAAGCGUUAUCCGGAUUCACUGGGUUUAAAGGGUGCGUAGGCGGGUCUUUAAGUCGGGGGUGAAAUCCUGGAGCUCAACUCCAGAACUGCCUUCGAUACUGGCGAUCUUGAGUCCGGAAGAGGUGAGUGGAACUCCUAGUGUAGAGGUGGAAUUCGUAGAUAUUAGGAAGAAACACCAGUGGCGAAGGCGGCUGCACUGGUC